CCACUGUUGGCUUCUUUCUUCCUCCAGCCCUGAAGCCUUGCACCGGUCCUUCCUCGAGGGAAGCAGCAGGAGUCAGCUCACAGUAGAGCUUGGGACAUGCCAGUCUGUGGCAGGAGGGAACAGGAAUGGGAGGGAGAAAGCCUGAGACCAGACUUAGGAACCACAAGCCUGGAAGCCACAAAGCACACCCACUAAUUGACUCUGUGUCUUGGAAACGUCUUCUUGGAUAUUAUAAUUAUAUUGAAAAACUGGGCAAGAUGGCUCCCGCUGGACCUUCAAGGCCAUGUUUCUAUGGUGGAAGGCGUUGACUGUUUUUAUUGUCGUUGGGAACCAAAGGAUAUCUUUCAAGUGAGGAAAAACCUAACCAAAGCAAAGGACAAUUUCAUCACUUAGAUCACAAAUAAUUUUUCCAGAAAUGUCAGCUGAGUUUUCAGAAGGAAUCCCCCCAAUUCCAUCAACAUAAGAUCUCAAAGUACAAAUCAUUCAUCUGAAACAUGGACUCUGCUGGUUGCCAAUGGCGUGGUGACAGAUGUCGUGUGGUGAAUUCCGUCCUGUUUGUGUGACAGCAACUACAGGAUAAACCAGCAAAAUGGUAGCAGCUCUCAUAUCUUUAUUUGCUUAUAACAGAGAAUCUUCCGUUCUGCAGAAGCCCCAGUUAC
Long non-coding RNA from Heterocephalus glaber (naked mole-rat), 659 nucleotides. RefSeq lists it as uncharacterized. NCBI's taxonomy places the organism in Eukaryota, Metazoa, Chordata, Mammalia, Rodentia, Bathyergidae. The record is from RefSeq and is a predicted model, not a curated record.